This 218-nucleotide unclassified non-coding RNA is filed under the name plant metagenome. RNAcentral describes it as "partial contains small subunit ribosomal RNA, internal transcribed spacer 1, and 5.8S ribosomal RNA". The record is from RNAcentral.
UCUCCGUUGGUGAACCAGCGGAGGGAUCAUUAAUGAGUUGCAAAACUCCCUCAAACCAUCGUGAACGUACCUCUGAACAUUGCUUCCGCCAUUCGCUCACGCCCCCGCUCCACUCGCCAAACGCUUGCCGGAGGUAACUUAACUCUUGUUUUUUACCGCCUCCUUGAUGAUUUGUUCUUAAUAAGUCAAAACUUUCAACAACGGAUCUCUUGGUUCUG